RNAcentral lists this unclassified non-coding RNA (294 nucleotides) under plant metagenome. Its description in RNAcentral is "partial contains small subunit ribosomal RNA, internal transcribed spacer 1, and 5.8S ribosomal RNA". The stretch from base 1 to 54 matches the Rfam family "Eukaryotic small subunit ribosomal RNA", at positions 1778 to 1831 of the family's 1831-position model. The record is from RNAcentral.
GGAAGUAAAAGACGUAACAAGGUUUCCGUAGGUGAACCUGCGGAAGGAUCAUUAAUGAGUUGUCAUGGGGUUCGAUGCUGGCAGCCAGUUUUUGGAUGCAUGUGCUUGCCCUAACAAUCAUCUUCUUCCAAACACCUGUGCACAUUUUUGAGGGAGUCUUGAGUUGGUUGCCGCUCUUGGGUGAUUUUCUCACAUUCCCUUAAAUCAUUAUAGGCUAUUAACAAUGUUGAACGUGCUCUGUGCCGCAAGGCCAUUAAUAUAAUACAACUUUUAACAACGGAUCUCUUGGCUCUC